UGGGGAAUAUUGCACAAUGGGGGAAACCCUGAUGCAGCGACGCCGCGUGAACGAAGAAGGUAUUCGUAUCGUAAAGUUCUGUCCUAUGGGAAGAUAAUGACAGUACCAUAGAAGAAAGCUCCGGCUAAAUACGUGCCAGCAGCCGCGGUAAUACGUAUGGAGCGAGCGUUGUCCGGAAUUAUUGGGCGUAAAGGGUACGCAGGCGGUUUAAUAAGUCGAAUGUUAAAGAUCGGGGCUCAACCCCGUAAAUCAUUGGAAACUGAUAAACUUGAGUAGUGGAGAGGAAAGUGGAAUUCCUAGUGUAGUGGUGAAAUACGUAGAUAUUAGGAGGAAUACCAGUAGCGAAGGCGACUUUCUGGACACAAACUGACGCUGAGGUACGAAAGCGUGGGGAGCAAACAGG
RNAcentral lists this ribosomal RNA (403 nucleotides) under bacterium. Its description in RNAcentral is "partial 16S ribosomal RNA". It matches the Rfam family "Bacterial small subunit ribosomal RNA", at positions 355 to 776 of the family's 1533-position model. The record is from RNAcentral.